CCUCUCUGCCGCUCUGCUCAAACUCCAGAUCAGUGAACCCAGUCGAGACCAGUACUGGAUCUGAUAAUCCCUUGGAUAGCUCUAGCUUGAAUCAGGAAUUGACCUUGAUUUUGGGAACCACCACAUUGGGCUGUUUGGGGAGAAAGUGCCCUAUUUCUAUUCCCGAAACAAACCAAAGAUGCAUGCAGUGACAGUGACUCGGAAUGUGGUGCUGGAGGCUGGACAAGAGAACCUGGUACGAGGAAAUGUUCACUACAGGGACCUCUACCAUGGACUCACCAGCCUGGUGCAGCAUGACAUCAUAACCUCGCCAGGCACUCCAGUCAAGCAGCCACCACGCCGGAUAAUGUCUGAGAAGCAACAGAGUGCUGAUCACCAGAUACAGCAGAGAUUGAGAGCAGGACUGACACGCCAGCAGUUUUGGCAGGAAGCCAUCCUGCAAGCUGGAUGUUUUUAACCUUCUUCCCCUGGAUAAACCUGGUGGUUUACUGCAUGUGGGUCAGAUCUCUUAAGAAAAUCAUGACACACCAGGCCAACCUUAAACUAAAACCUGCCAGGUGUUUUCUCUUCCACCGCCAGAUUGCCUACCUAGGGCACAUUGUCUCGGAGGGUGGUGUGGCCACUGACCCCAGAAAGUUCCAGAAGGUGCAGAAGUGGCACACUCCAUCAUCAAUCCAGGAGGUCCACCGAUUUAUUGGCCUUGAAUCAUACUAUUAACAGUUUGUGAAAGACUUUGCUUCCAUAGGCGAACCCCUCCACAACCUGUCAAAGAAACACGCCUAGUUUCAGUGGACGGAGGAAUGCCAAGGCAUUUGAUAAACUCAAGCAUCUGUUAACUACUUCACCAGUCUUGGGGUUCCCACUCGACCCGGGCAAUAUGAUAUCCGACACUGACGCAAGCGAUGUUAGCAUCGGUGCCAUCCUCUCCCAAGUUCAACAGGUUAGAGACAUGUGCUGGCCUAUUGGAGUUGCAAACUGUCCAAGACUGAACAGAACUAUUGCACCACA
Long non-coding RNA from Cyprinodon variegatus (sheepshead minnow), 1008 nucleotides. RefSeq lists it as uncharacterized. The record is from RefSeq and is a predicted model, not a curated record. The transcript has 3 exons. NCBI's taxonomy places the organism in Eukaryota, Metazoa, Chordata, Actinopteri, Cyprinodontiformes, Cyprinodontidae.